This 467-nucleotide ribosomal RNA is filed under the name uncultured bacterium. RNAcentral's name for it is "partial 16S ribosomal RNA". It matches the Rfam family "Bacterial small subunit ribosomal RNA", at positions 28 to 507 of the family's 1533-position model. The record is from RNAcentral.
GAUGAACGCUGGCGGCGUGCUUAACACAUGCAAGUCGAACGGAAAGGCCCAAGCUUGCUUGGGUACUCGAGUGGCGAACGGGUGAGUAACACGUGGGUGAUCUGCCCUGCACUUCGGGAUAAGCCUGGGAAACUGGGUCUAAUACCGGAUAGGACCACUUCUUGGAUGUUGUGGUGGAAAGUAUUUUCGGUGUGGGAUGAGCUCGCGACCUAUCAGCUUGUUGGUGGGGUAAUGGCCUACCAAGGCGUCGACGGGUAGCCGGCCUGAGAGGGUGUACGGCCACAUUGGGACUGAGAUACGGCCCAGACUCCUACGGGAGGCAGCAGUGGGGAAUAUUGCACAAUGGGCGCAAGCCUGAUGCAGCGACGCCGCGUGGGGGAUGACGGCCUUCGGGUUGUAAACUCCUUUCGCUAGGGACGAAGCGUUUUGUGACGGUACCUGGAGAAGAAGCACCGGCUAACUACGUG